Molecule: long non-coding RNA, 1689 nt
Organism: Zophobas morio
Lineage: Eukaryota; Metazoa; Arthropoda; Insecta; Coleoptera; Tenebrionidae
Exons: 13
Source: RefSeq, a predicted model, not a curated record
UUAGGAAGCUUAAAAGUUUACUUGAUCUUUACUUUAAUAUUUUUUUUGUAAAAUCUUUCACAGAUUUUUCUUGGAAGUUCUCGGGGAAACUCUUGGGUGCUGGUUAACCGCCUUAAUCUAAGCACCAGUACUAUUUUUGAACACUUUACUGAAGUUAACGUGGAUGAAACAGCGAGCUUUACUAUACCAAAUCAUUUUAUAUAUGAGAAGAACGUUUUGAAAAAUUUAAAACUGUACUCUAAUGAAAAACUUUCCAGAGACGUUAGCUGGCUUCUUAAUAAGCGCUGCAGCACGACUGUGCAGCCCAAACACUCGGUCAGCCCUUUCGAUCACUUCAAUCUGGUUGCCGUACCAGUGGCAGUUAUCGCUGGCUCUCGCCCGGCUUAUUUGCUGCGUUGCCUUUACCACCUAGUCCAGCUUCCAUUAGACAAUAUUAUCCUUUCUAAUGUUUUUGUUUUGGCGGACGGCUUCGAUCAUGAAUCCUUACUCAUAUCGGUCAUUUUUGGGGUUAAAGUUGUUUUUUUUUCCGAAAAGCUACUCUUCUUUUCGAGGGGAGCGCAACUUUAUCGUAGCCGACAAAAUUGCAGUGCACUAUCGACGUUCCUUUAAUUAUUUGUUCUCUAAUAAAGCGGUCCACUCUUCAAUAACACUGGAAGCGGUUUCAGUGUUGCUCUGACUUUUUGUCAUAUUUUUCACAACUUCUGCCUCUUCUUAAAGAAGAUUCUCCUCUUUAUUGCAUAUCUGCUUGGAACGAUAACGCUUAUGUACACACAUCUUAAGACCCAGAAAAACUAUACCGUACCAAUUUUUUCCCCGGAUUGGGAUGGCUGCUUACAAGGAGACUGUGGAACACUAUAAAAAAAAGUUGGCCGCAGUGUUGCUGGGGCACGUCUUGGGAUUUAUGGCUUCGUUCCGUAAUAAAGAAAGGCAACACCUAUGCGGCCCCGCUUUUUGGUUUUAGUGUUAAAGUCUUUUGGUUGUACAAACCAGUAAAAAAAAUUAUUAAAAAUGCAGGGGAAAAUAGAUUUCAAGAUGACUAAUAUUUUUAUGUUAAUAGUUCUAUAUCAUAAUCACUUCUGUACAGACAAGGAGUGUAUUAUCCCCGACGUGCCACAGACUUUUCAUUUCGGAAGGAAAGGGAAACAUGUGCUUCAGGGGCAAAUGUGGAUAACGACUAUUUCUACGCUAUUUACUUCCGAACGCACGCGUUAAAUACCCUUACCAACGUAAAAUUAAGAUCUGUACGAGCACGACUCCACGUUUCUCAAGAAGCGCCGUUCAUAUCAAUCGAGCAGAAUGCCCUUGCUUAAUUGGCUAUGACGAAUAUGUGCCGAACACGACACCUAUUCCUUAUUCUUCUUUCAUAAACUUGACGUAUUAUCCUUCUUAAGGGCAAAAGUAUGUAAUAUGGUACUCCCAAAGGUCAGAUAAAGGAGCGAUAGAUACAGGAUAUUUGAAAGAACUACUGGAAUGUUGGGGCAUGUGGGACUUAGACAAAGAAUUUAUGAAAAUGUAAAAGUAACAAUUGUUUACAAAAAGUUUUUUCUAAUGUCCGCGGCUUGCAUCAUGGGAUCCUCACUUUUCACAUUAAAGGCAACUUAAUAAUGGUCAUUGGGGAUCACACCUCCUAUGCUAGAACGCACAUGCCGUCCGGUGUCAUUUCUGUUCGUCCUAAACCACGAGGACGGC